UAGCAAUACGGGAGCGGCAGACGGGAGGGUAACACGUGGGAACGCGCCCUUCGGUUCGGAAUAACUCAGGGAAACUUGAGCUAAUACCGGAUACGCCCUUACGGGGAAAGAUUUAUUGCCGAAGGAACGGCCCGCGUCCGAUUAGCUUGUUGGUGAGGUAAUGGCUCACCAAGGCGACGAUCGGUAGCUGGUCUGAGAGGAUGACCAGCCUCACUGGGACUGAGACACGGCCCAGACUCCUACGGGAGGCAGCAGUGGGGAAUAUUGGACAAUGGGCGCAAGCCUGAUCCAGCCAUGCCGCGUGGGUGAUGAAGGCCCUAGGG
RNAcentral lists this ribosomal RNA (323 nucleotides) under uncultured bacterium. RNAcentral describes it as "bacterial SSU rRNA". It matches the Rfam family "Bacterial small subunit ribosomal RNA", at positions 82 to 422 of the family's 1533-position model. The record is from RNAcentral.